This 1492-nucleotide ribosomal RNA is filed under the name Ligilactobacillus ruminis. RNAcentral describes it as "Lactobacillus ruminis partial 23S ribosomal RNA". It matches the Rfam family "Bacterial large subunit ribosomal RNA", at positions 468 to 1967 of the family's 2925-position model. The record is from RNAcentral. Lineage: Bacteria; Bacillati; Bacillota; Bacilli; Lactobacillales; Lactobacillaceae.
AAAUACUCCCGAGAGACCGAUAGCGAACCAGUACCGUGAGGGAAAGGUGAAAAGAACCCCGAGCAGGGGAGUGAAAUAGACCCUGAACCCGUCUGCCUACAAGCGGUCGGAGCGUCGUAAUGACGUGACGGCGUGCCUUUUGCAUAAUGAACCUACGAGUUACUUUUUCCGGCAAGGUUAAGCAUUUCAAAAUGUGUAGCCGAAGCGAAAGCGAGUCUGAACAGGGCGAUUAGUCGGAAGGAGUAGACGCGAAACCAAGUGAUCUACCCUUGGUCAGGUUGAAGGUUAGGUAACACUAACUGGAGGACCGAACCGAUAAGCGUUGAAAAGCUUCCGGAUGAGCUGAGGGUGGGGGUGAAAGGCUAAUCAAACUUGGAGAUAGCUCGUACUCCCCGAAAUGCAUUUAGGUGCAGCCUUGGGAAUUACUACUGUGAGGUAGAGCGACUGAUAAGAUGCGAGGGCUUCACCGCCUAUCAAGUCUUGAUAAACUCCGAAUGCGCAGUAGUUCGAUCCCAGGAGUGAGGGCAUGGGUGCUAAGGUCCAUGUCCUAAAGGAGAAGAAUCCGGACCAUCAGCUAAGGUCCCGAAAUAAUUGCUAAGUUGAACUAACGAAGUCAGAUUGCUAAGACAGCUAGGAUGUUGGCUUGGAAGCAGCCAUUCAUUUAAAGAGUGCGUAACAGCUCACUAGUCGAGCGAUCUGGCGUGGAUAAUAAUCGGGCAUAAACGAUCUGCCGAAGCCGUGGAUGUCGCAAGACAUGGUAGGGGAGCAUUCCAUGCCGCGUCGAAGAUGAGGGAUGACCCUUGUUGGAGCGCAUGGAAAAGCAAAUGUAGGUAUGAGUAACGAUAAGGGGGGCGAGAAACCCCCCCGCCGAAAGACCAAGGUUUCCUGAUCAACGCUAAUCGGAUCAGGGUGAGUCGGGACCUAAGGCAAAGCCGAACGGCGCCGCCGAUGGAAGAAUGGGUUAAUAUUCCCAUACUGCCUCAUGGAGUGACGUGGAGACGGAGAAGUGACAGUCCUGCCGGCUGACGGAAUAGCCGGUUGAAGGGUGUAGAUAUUGAUUCCCGUAGGCAAAUCCGCGGGGAGAGUCGAACCUGAGAGUAUACGGAGCGCUUGCGCAACGUAAUAUGGACGUAACCAUGCUCCCGAGAAAAUCCGCUAAACUUAUCCAUGCGGCACCCGUACCGUAAACGGACACACGUGGUCGGGUUGAGAAUACUGAGGCGCUCGAGUGAUUCACGGUUAAGGAACUAGGCAAAUUGACCCUGUAACUUCGGGAUAAAGGGUCCUCGUCGUAAGGCGAGGCGCAGAGAAUAGGUCCAGGCAACUGUUUAACAAAAACACAGGGCUGUGCCAAAUUGAAAGAUUACGUAUACAGCCUGACACCUGCCCGGUGCUGGAAGGUUAAGAGGAGAUGUCAUCGCAAGAGAAGCAUUGAAUUGAAGCCCCAGUAAACGGCGGCCGUAACUAUAACGGUCCUAAGGUAGCGAAAUUC